UGUUCUCCGACUCUUCGUGUGCCGCUCGGUUCUUUUCCUGGUCAAAUGAACAAGAGCUGUAACACUAGCUGUACAUACUGCCGCAACAGUCUCGGUUAUGCCUGGGCGAAAUAUUACAAGAGUAUUUUUUUUAUGAAGAGAAGAAAUGCUUCAGGGAGUUGAGAUAAUCUGUCCAAGGUCAGACUUCUAGUAAAUAGUAUGAUUAGAGCUCUAAGACUACACCCUCAACCUUUCCCCCUACAUCUCAGGUCCUCUUCGAUGCCAUGCAAAACCCUGGUGAGAGUCUGGGUAGGAUGGGGAGCUUUCGCAACAACCACCGAAGGUUUCCUACCCACCAAUUCCAAUAUAUGUGUUUUCAUAAGAUCAUCCAGAGCUAUGCACUGGAGCAAAAAUUAUAGCCACAGGUGGCAUUAGCUUUCACCUGUUAGGAGGCACGUUGGACUUACCAGUUAAAGACAUUUUCCAAUGACCCGUAGCAGCUGAACCUAACGUGCCUCUUAGAAGAGAAGCUCGUGCGUAAGACUUAGUGCUUCUUCAAUCCCUUUAGCUGCCUGCUAAGUGCAGAAUGCCCUCUCCUGCUGCUCUCUGCUUAUGGAGCUGGCAUUUGCUACACAUGUUUCAAAUGUACACGGUAUUUGAAAAAUGAUCCUUCAUCUGAACCAGCUUUUGCGAUCUCAUUCCACAGGCUACACACAAAGCUAGGGAUAUACUGCAGGCCUGGGGGGCCACAGGGAGGGAGCAGAUGGUCUCGGGGUGUCUGAUAAAAGCAAACCCGGCCAAUGUGUGUUUUCAAAUGCUGAGACGACUUUUUGUUUUUGGUUUGCCUCACUUGGGCCAUUCCUUGGCAUCCCACGAUGAACUGAACAAUUCGCCCUACUUAUAACUUCAUGUGUCUGAGUUGCGAACGUUUGUGAAAUUGAAGCAUUUGAAAGUUCACUGUGGGUUAGUCGAAUCCCUCUGAUGUUUACAGCGUUGUGAUCAGAUGGAAAACUUUCCACAGACACUUAUGGAUAUCUGAGCUAUUUGCACUUGCAUUUCUGGAUGCCCUGGUUUUGAAAUGGAAACUAUUACGAAAGAAAUCGAUUUCCAAGUUCACGUGUCUCAGAGCAGUGUGAAUGACACUCAGCCUCCAUUAGAAGGAGGACUAUGUAAUAAAUGAGGCGCGAUGUAACAAAGGAGCCACCUCUUCCUCAGCUGUCAUCCUUGUUCCAUGCCCUCCCGCCUGCGCGCUCUCGGGCUCUAGCAGGAGUGGCAGCUCCCGUGUCUGGGAUGAGGCACUUUCAUUGGUUCGCCGUUUCUUUAACACCUCUAUUGAUGGAUGUGGAAGGGAGGCCAGGAAAUAAUGCCAGUAAAGGGAAGUUUGUGAAUUUUCUUUCUUUUAAAACAUAUUUUUAUCAAAUAAUAUUCUUUCAUCUCUCCUUCCUUUCCUCCUUCACGUCUUCCUUCAAGCUCCCCACAUGACAGGCAUUUAUUUGCCUAGGAUGCAAAAACAUGAAACUCAGUGCUGCGAGAUGACAGCACUGGGAAUGUCCCGGCCAAGCGACAAGCGAGCAAGGAUGUUCUCACCAGCAGGGCCCGAACCAGGGGAAGAAGGGCCCGGCUCAGUCUGAGUCUGUAAUAAGAAGACCCGCUAAGCUUUUCGGAAUCACCCAAUUUACCUUCUGAUCUUUCUUGGAAGCUUUUCUUCGUUUCCAACUGGAAGCCUGGCUCCUCUGUGGACUCAGGCGCCGUUUGAGCUUCCAGACACUUCGCAGGCCACAAGCAGUGGCAGAGGUGUGGAGAUUUUAAAGCAUGCACGUUGUCCCGAUGAGUGCAAAUAAAAACCUGUCUUGCUUACUUGGAUUGUGGAAACCAGGAAUACAGAUCACACAGCUGGCGGAAUGUCAGAACUGGAAUUCGGUCCAACACCUUUACUGACUGUCUCGAACGUCUUAAAAACACAGUAGGCCUUGAAGCUUAAGCCAGAGCGAACUGUAAAGGAAAUACCAUCGGUGCAUGCGGUGAAAUACCCAAAAUGCCCCGCACCGGUUGCUAGCUCACCGGCUUCCCUGAGUUCAUUAUUGUUGCCAGGCCUUUCGUUAAUCUUAAAGCCUAUGCUUUUAGGAGAAAUAAAUGUAAAUAACUACAAAGUAAAUAUUAAAACAUGUUCCCCUUUGCUAUGCUCAUGAUGCUACUCUCUCACGAUUGGUAAUCAUUCUGAGGUUUUGUUUUUUGUUUUUUUUUAAGUAGUGGUCUAGUAUUCACACUCUAGUCCAAUAUUUUCUAAAGUGCGACAUGAAGCCCAGGUGUUUAAAAAUAUACUUCAAAGUCUAUCUUGGCAUCAGAGCAGGUGAGAGGAUCUCUCACCUCUCCUUAUUGCACAGUAACUCACUUGUUACCUGUUUAGAUACCAAUUUUCAAAGCGAAGGAGCAUUAGUGGUGGACGACCCUAUUCUCUGUGCAAAGCAGAUGUUCAAUAAAUAUUCGCUGGAAUGAAAGAAUCAAUGUAUGCAUGCAUGCAUGCUGUUUCUCAGGUUUUAUUUGAAAGUAUGAAGUUAGAAAAUUACUAUCAUCCUUGCCCUCUUUUCCCUCUGUGGUGCCUUUACAUGACUGCUAGAAGGACUUAGGCUGGCUGCGAAGUCAAGCAACUCACCAUCAUGAGUUCCGAAUGUGAAGCCCCCGUGCCCAAAGCGUCCACAUGGCUGCGCUUUUGAGAGGGAUGAUUCCUGGACUCUCGUGCUGGUUUUGCACCAGCGAGUCCUGCUACAAAGAUCCUUGACCAGAUUGCAUGCGACCUUUGGGAGCCUACUGCUUGGAUACUGGGAAGAGUACGUGAAAGGAUAAAAAAAAACACACUCUUGCCUUUGGAGGCAUAUUAAAAUCCUCUUGCAUGCUGUUGUCUUUUUCUCAUUGAAAAUAUCAAGUCUGUUUUCUAUAUAAACAGGCAUUUUCUUUUAUCUUGGUGAUAUUGUUUUACAAUCCGACUGUAUGACUUAAAUAUUUUAUUUGUCUCCAAAUCAUUUUUUUUUAACAUGGCCUGAUUAUUUGAAACAAUCUCACUCACUUUGGAAAAGUAUUAUUAGUGAACUUUCUUUCAACUAAGGAGGAAAACAAACAUGCAAAUAAUCUGGUUCCCCUGCGUGGUCUGCGCUGGUUAGUCACUCACACAUGCUUUCUCUGGGUAUGUGUCACCUGAAAUGGAAAGGGAAGUAGGAAAGUGACCCUCCCAAGCAUCCAUUCCAUACGACACUGGUGCGACGACUCUCGAGAGGCCACCGACUCAAAAACAAAAAAGGUUUCAGCAUUUGAAGAACAGUCCUGUAUUUAUUCUAUAUCUUAAAAUGAAGAUGAAUCAGAUAAAGGCAUUACAAGAACUACAAACAAAAAAUCGGGUGAUCUCUACUUAUGGAUUGGGUUUGCUGAGCCAUGACAGAAUUAUAGAGCAGAUGACAUUUGUUUUUCUUGUCAUCAGGGUCCUAAGCACCCUAUCCUGUUCCUGUU
This is a non-coding RNA of Microcebus murinus (gray mouse lemur), 3480 nucleotides long. The record is from RefSeq and is a predicted model, not a curated record. NCBI's taxonomy places the organism in Eukaryota, Metazoa, Chordata, Mammalia, Primates, Cheirogaleidae.